RNAcentral lists this long non-coding RNA (645 nucleotides) under Falco tinnunculus (common kestrel). RNAcentral's name for it is "lncRNA (ENSFTIG00000011834.1)". Lineage: Eukaryota; Metazoa; Chordata; Aves; Falconiformes; Falconidae. The record is from RNAcentral.
GAUGACAUGAGUUUUUUUUUUUUUAUUUUUAUUUUUUUUCCCCCAGCCAGGCCUAUGUACAAGCUCCUGGAUGGUGUCCUGAGCCCCCUGCUGACUCCGUUUUUCUGCAGGAAGGGGCCUUUGCAUGCUGCUUUUGAGGAGCACCAAAUAUUCUAGAAGCUGGAAACAAAAUCUUACACCAAUUAAUACGUUGCUGGGAAGAGCUCCAGUUUCACUGUAGAGACACCUUUUGAAGGCAGAAGCAGUGGGGACGGAUUUGCCCUGAAUGCCAGGGAAAAAACAAUCCUUCUACUGGGAGUGAAAUCUACAUCCAAAAUGCACGUUCAAAGCAGCAGUUGUGUGGAUAGGGAAAACAGGAUGUGAUCUCACAUUAUUCCUGAGGCUGCUGGGUAUUUUGUCUGCAGCUGGAGUCUUCACUAUUCUUCCUGCAGUCCUCUUCCACUUCAUCAACAAGAAGGUCUGCUUUGAAAAGAGAGGUGGACUUCCAUACCUGGAACAACAAGGAAGAAGAAAACACUACAAAGAAAAGUCCGGAGUUCAUGAGGACCUUGGUCUGUGGACAGCUGUAACCAGAAUGCGUGCACUUCAGAAAAGCUCCCUGAACUGUAAGUGACAUGCUGGCAAAACUGAACAACUGAUCACCAG